RNAcentral lists this long non-coding RNA (202 nucleotides) under Trifolium pratense (red clover). Its description in RNAcentral is "long non-coding RNA (TPRA_LNC007555)". Lineage: Eukaryota; Viridiplantae; Streptophyta; Magnoliopsida; Fabales; Fabaceae. The record is from RNAcentral.
UCCCAUUUGUACCUUUUAUCUCUCAGUAAUAAACUUCAACCUUUAUCUAAAUUCCAACUCACUUGAAUGCAAUAUUUUAAGAACCGGACCGGACCGGCCGGUUCAACCGGGAACCGGACACAGCAGCGGUCCGGGCUAGUGCUGAGAACCAGUAGUCUGCAGAACCGGAAAAAAACCGCUUGAAACCGGUACGAACAGUCCG